Neofelis nebulosa (Clouded leopard) is the source of this 2834-nucleotide long non-coding RNA. RefSeq lists it as uncharacterized. The record is from RefSeq and is a predicted model, not a curated record. Lineage: Eukaryota; Metazoa; Chordata; Mammalia; Carnivora; Felidae. The transcript has 4 exons.
GAGCGGGGCGAAGGGGCCGAAUCACCAGCGGCCCGCGUUGCCGGGCCGGGACUCUCGGGCCGCAGUGGACGCCGCGCCGCCUGCAUGCGGGCGCAUGCGCCGCUGCUUCGGGCCGCGCGUGGGCUCGCUCGCGCGUGCGCCGCUCCCUCCGGCCGCGCGUGGGCUCGCUCGCGCGCCUUCCUCCCGGCGCAGAGUUUCCGGCAGGACCGCAGGAAGCGCGCAUGUGCGGCCUCGCUCUGCCCGCAAGCUCUGCACGGGGCAAACUGUGUUCCUUUCCACUUCGGGACUGCAGGGGCUGGUUCGGUUCACGGAACUCGGAGGUUUUCCCCGCCCAGAGCUGAUGCGCACAGUUGAACAAGAGCAACUCACGGAAGAGGUUGUUUUUAUAAUUCGUUGCUGAUCCCUUUUCUCCUCAUUCUGUGGGAUUUACCCAGCUGCUAGCCCCAAUGAGCACCCGGCGAUAGCUGGCAAAGGUCAUCUACAGCCGGGAGCAUCACCUCGAAGGGGGCAGGAGGGCUCCAGGUCAGAGACACCUCGGGGAGACCGCCUCUGUGUGCUGUCAGGACGGACUGGCUGUGCUGUGUAACACACACGCCCAAACCCGGAGACUCACUCAAGUCGCCUGCGGUGGCCUCCGACCCCCACGGGCCUCAUACCUGGCGCCUGGUCUCAGGCAGGCCGCAGGUCCAGUCGGGAAGAAAGAACGCGGAGGAUCAGGAACCAGCUUUUCAGUGUUCGCCCUUGGGUGACACAUGGCCCUUCAGAUGAAGGUCGCGCCUCUUUCACCAUCCGUCCAUCCAAGUGGCAGUGGCCUCCUGAGUGUAAGCCGGUGACAUCCAGCUGCAUCUGGAAACUCAGCCCCGGGACAAAGUCCAGAUCCCCUCAGAGGACCCAGCAGAGGACCCGCCAGCCGGCAGGGCUCCCCGUUUCUCCUGGACACUCUUCCCUCCGCCGCCGACCCUGCCUCCCUACAUCUCCCUCCACCCAGUCAGUACCUUCCUAUUUCCACCGCGGUUGAGUGAAUACGGUCCCCACAGCCACAUCAAGAGAUGAUGCAGCAGGGAGCGUCUGUGGAGUUCCACAGAGUGAGCGAGUCAGCUUAGACGCCUCCAAAUACAGAGGUGGGGACAGCGAUGCCAGGACCCCUACCUCGGUGUGCCCGCAAGCUGUGGGCCUGGAGCUCUGAGAGGAAGCCCUGGCACCUCGCAGGGAAGAAGGCGGACCUGAGCGGGGGCCUGAACUAAAAUGCAUCCAAGUUAGUUGCACCUGUUUCCUUUCACGCUUUUACCAGCCUGCCAGGACGCUCACAAUGGCACGCGGGCUCACGCUGCAUUUCCGCUGGACAGCACCCAGCUGGGCCCACAGGGGCGUUGGUGGGCUUGCUGAAAAAGGGCCAAGGAUGAGGAGAGAAGCCCCGGACCCCCUCGGUCCCCGCCGCACACAGGCCGGCACUGAGGCGGAGGACAGGCCUCCCCUGUGACGCCGCUGCAGCCCCGGCUUGUGUGUCCCACCGGGAGAAUCAGGAUGGACAGCCCUGUGGCCGCGGGCCUCCAGCCCAGCCUGUCGGGGCUCGUGGUCGGGUGUGUGUCCCCCCUGCCAGACUUUAGGACGGACAGCCAGGGAACCCAAGACCGCCGCCCACAGACAGUGGAGAAGGGAUCCAAGAGGGAGGGGGCAGGGGAAGGGCCGGCCCACCACAGCCCACCAACCCCUUCGCCCUCGCGAUGCUUCUCACGCUGUCAGCCUGGCGGCCUCCUGGAGGAAGCGGGGCCACCCUGUACCCUGAGACCCCACCAGCGCUGCGGCCUGGACCCUCCUAGACCGGCUGUCGCCACACAGGGGCUCCAGGACGGCUCGCUCACCUCCCGCAGGCCUGUGGCGCCCCCCCUCGACCGCACCUCCCGUGCUCCUUGUGAGCUGGACUCCCCCACCCCCCGCAGCCCCGGCACUAAAGCCGCGGUUCUCCCAGCCUCUGCCCGCCAGCCCCGCUCCACUUCUCGCGAGGCGGCAAAGCACGGCUCCUGAAAACGUGAACUGCCUCGCUCAGCGUGUUUGCGGGACGUACCGCCCAGCACGCUCUGCACAGUCCCGGCGCCAGGCAGACAGCGUUAGGCAAAGGGGAACGCCGAGCCGCCCCAGCGCCGCGCCCUCGAGGCCAGGCCAUCGACGGCGGGCCUGUCGGGCGGCGACCGGGGCCUCAAGGGCAGCAACGCCGCCCGGGGCUGGAGCCACACGCGACUCCCAGCGACGCGGAGCAGAAGCCUGCAGGUCGGCCUCGCGCGUGAAUCCGGGGGAGGUGGGCCCCGGGGCCGGAGAGGGGACCCUGGUGACGCCUGGGGGCGAUGAGCCUCCCCGACGUGGGCCGGCCGCGGGCCGAGGAGUGGACCGUAGGCCAGGGAAGCCGCGGAAGCGCCUCGAGGGAGUGAGUCGGCCUGUGGCGCCGCGUGGGGUUCACAGCCACGGCGGUGGCCGGCCGGGGCUUCGGGGACAGGGGUGGGGCGUGUGGAACGUGAGAUGUGAGGGGUCCGGACACAUGUCCCCAGGGUCCCAGCGGCCGUCUCCCUAGGAGCGUCCCCGUGCGUCCAGGGCCACCCUGCAGGCCCUCUCCAGAGCCUGGGGGGCAGGCCCGCUGGUGUGACAGUCGCUGCUCCAGAACGGAGGCGGCCGCCAACUCUGGCCAGCGAGGUGAGAACUACCGAGGCGGCUCUGACAUUGUGCUAGCACCCGGCCGUAACGUGGAUGCCCACGGCGCUCUGCCCCGCAUGAGGAGGUGGGCCCUGAUGGGGGGCGUGGACCCCUCGGGGGCACCCUGGGGACACCUUGAGCUAGGUACC